This 322-nucleotide long non-coding RNA is filed under the name Ananas comosus (pineapple). RNAcentral's name for it is "long non-coding RNA (ACOM_LNC002686)". Lineage: Eukaryota; Viridiplantae; Streptophyta; Magnoliopsida; Poales; Bromeliaceae. The record is from RNAcentral.
AUAGUUAGUAUGUAGGUUUGCUUAACCAAAUCUUUUUAGGCUUCGUUUGGGAUUACGGAGAUAUUGCGUUACGUGCGGUGCCAGUGAAAAAAUACGUUGGAAAAAUAUCAUGUUUGUUUUCGUACGUAAUAUUACAUUCCGCAUAUCGCGAUAAGUCUAUUUUCUGUAAUCCAACCGGAGAACGCAGAAUCAUAUUUCUAUAUGCUUUUUUUUUAACUUUAUUUUAUCUAAUAAUGUUUGAUAGGUCUCAAUACCAAACUAUAAGCCUUACGUGUAGCCUAAAGAUUUUUUGAAUUUAAAAUAAUAAUUGCAAGAUAUAUAC